ACGCGUUGAACCUUACCUACCCUUGACAUGUACGGAACCCUGCUGAGAGGUGGGGUGCUCGAAAGAGAGCCGUAACACAGGUGCUGCAUGGCUGUCGUCAGCUCGUGUCGUGAGAUGUUGGGUUAAGUCCCCGCAACGAGCGCAACCCUUGUCAUUAGUUGCUACGCAAGAGCACUCUAAUGAGACUGCCGGUGACAAACCGGAGGAAGGUGGGGAUGACGUCAAGUCCUCAUGGCCCUUAUGGGUAGGG
Molecule: ribosomal RNA, 250 nt
Filed under: uncultured bacterium
Lineage: Bacteria
Description: partial 16S ribosomal RNA
Rfam family: Bacterial small subunit ribosomal RNA
Source: RNAcentral